This 484-nucleotide ribosomal RNA is filed under the name uncultured bacterium. Its description in RNAcentral is "bacterial SSU rRNA". It matches the Rfam family "Bacterial small subunit ribosomal RNA", at positions 28 to 507 of the family's 1533-position model. The record is from RNAcentral.
GAUGAACGCUAGCUACAGGCUUAACACAUGCAAGUCGAGGGGCAGCACAGUGUAGCAAUACACGGGUGGCGACCGGCGCACGGGUGCGUAACGCGUAUCCAACCUUCCCGUUACUCUUGGAUAGCCUUCCGAAAGGGAGAUUAAUACCCCAUAGUAUAACGAAGAGGCAUCUUUUUGUUAUUAAAGAAUUUCGGAAACGGAUAGGCUCGCGUGACAUUAGCUAGAUGGCGGGGUAACGGCCCACCGUGGCAACGAUGUCUAGGGGUUCUGAGAGGAAGGUCCCCCACACUGGAACUGAGACACGGUCCAGACUCCUACGGGAGGCAGCAGUGAGGAAUAUUGGUCAAUGGUCUGACGACUGAACCAGCCAUGCCGCGUGAAGGUCACGGCCCUAUGGGUCUUAAACUUCUUUUGCGAGGGAGCAAUAAGGUCUACGUGUAGUCCGAUGAGAGUACCUCGCGAAUAAGCAUCGGCUAACUCCGUG